This 405-nucleotide ribosomal RNA is filed under the name uncultured bacterium. Its description in RNAcentral is "bacterial SSU rRNA". It matches the Rfam family "Bacterial small subunit ribosomal RNA", at positions 354 to 776 of the family's 1533-position model. The record is from RNAcentral.
GUGGGGAAUAUUGCACAAUGGGGGAAACCCUGAUGCAGCAACGCCGCGUGAGUGAAGAAGUAUUUCGGUAUGUAAAGCUCUAUCAGCAGGGAAGAAAAUGACGGUACCUGACUAAGAAGCUCCGGCUAAAUACGUGCCAGCAGCCGCGGUAAUACGUAUGGAGCAAGCGUUAUCCGGAAUUACUGGGUGUAAAGGGAGCGCAGGCGGUUUAGCAAGUCUGAUGUGAAAUCCCGGGGCCCAACCCCGGAACUGCAUUGGAAACUGUUAAACUAGAGUGCCGGAGAGGUAAGUGGAAUUCCUAGUGUAGCGGUGAAAUGCGUAGAUAUUAGGAGGAACACCAGUGGCGAAGGCGGCUUACUGGACGGUAACUGACGCUGAGGCUCGAAAGCGUGGGGAGCAAACAGG